This 624-nucleotide ribosomal RNA is filed under the name uncultured bacterium. RNAcentral describes it as "bacterial SSU rRNA". It matches the Rfam family "Bacterial small subunit ribosomal RNA", at positions 129 to 751 of the family's 1533-position model. The record is from RNAcentral.
CCGUACACUCAGGGAUAGCCUUUCGAAAGAAAGAUUAAUACCUGAUAGUAUGGUGAGAUUGCAUGAUAGCACCAUUAAAGAUUUAUUGGUAAACGAUGGGGAUGCGUUCCAUUAGGUAGUAGGCGGGGUAACGGCCCACCUAGCCGACGAUGGAUAGGGGUUCUGAGAGGAAGGUCCCCCACAUUGGAACUGAGACACGGUCCAAACUCCUACGGGAGGCAGCAGUGAGGAAUAUUGGUCAAUGGGCGAGAGCCUGAACCAGCCAAGUAGCGUGAAGGAUGAAGGUCCUACGGAUUGUAAACUUCUUUUAUACGGGAAUAAAGUAUCCUACGUGUAGGAUUUUGCAUGUACCGUAUGAAUAAGCAUCGGCUAACUCCGUGCCAGCAGCCGCGGUAAUACGGAGGAUGCGAGCGUUAUCCGGAUUUAUUGGGUUUAAAGGGAGCGCAGACGGGAGAUUAAGUCAGUUGUGAAAGUUUGCGGCUCAACCGUAAAAUUGCAGUUGAUACUGGUUUCCUUGAGUGCAGUUGAGGCAGGCGGAAUUCGUGGUGUAGCGGUGAAAUGCUUAGAUAUCAUGAAGAACCCCGAUUGCGAAGGCAGCUUGCUAAACUGUAACUGACGUUCAUG